CCCAACUUUGAAUCCUACCAUAACCCAGAAUGAGUUGGUCGAGUAUAGCAACAUGGGAUUUUGCAUAUGAGAGGUAACAGGUUCGAAUUCCCACUCAUAUGCUUGGGGAGAAAGGUCAAAUCACAUGUUUAAAUUUCUAUUCAUUGUCCUUACUUUCUUGGAUCCCUGUUUGUGAAGAAGCAUCAGGGUCUUCCUUUCUUUAUUUCUUUCGCUGAUCGAAUAAAAUUUCCCCAUUUGAAACCCCACAAGAGUGCAAUUGACAAAUAGCCACACAGAAAGAUAGGGUUUUGAGAUAUUGCGAACGAUGUUGAGACUGUUGGAUGCACACUGUCACCUUCAGGACCCGAGAAUCUUAAGCAAGGCACCCCAUCUCAUCAAAACCGCGCAAGACACCGGCGUCGCGUACUUCGCCGUUAACGGAGUUUCCGAACAAGACUGGCACUCCGUUAAGCAGUUGGCCGAAACAUACCCUUCCGUCAUUCCUUGCUUCGGUCUCCAUCCUUGGUUUGUUAAGGAACGGAGUCCCAAUUGGUUUCAAACGUUGAAGGAAUAUUUUGAUUCCACACCCUCUGCUGCAGUUGGAGAGAUUGGUGUGGACAAAGGAUCACACGGAAAGAAGAUUGAUUUUUCUGAGCAGAUUGAAGUAUUGAGGCAGCAGCUUGAACUUGCAAAAGAGUUAAACAAACCAGCAUCUGUUCAUUGUGUUCGUGCUUUUGGUGAUCUUCUUGAGCUAAUGAAGUUUUUGGGGCCUUUUCCUGCCGGUGUCAUUCUUCAUUCUUACCUAGGUUCUGCAGAGAUGGUUCAUGAAUUUUCCAAGCUUGGUGCUUAUUUUUCCUUCUCAGGAUUUCUUAUGUCACUAAAAGCAAGUAAAGCAAAGAAAAUGCUGAAGAUGGUCCCUCCUGAUAGGAUUUUGUUGGAGACAGAUGCACCUGAUGCACUACCAAUGUCAAACAUAGAUUCUCUUUAUUUUGUUGAAGGAGAUACUUCUCUCACCGAAGAGCUUCUUGCCCAAACAACAACUUCAUCAACUUCUGGUUCUUCCCUCGGUAAUUCAUCCCAUGUCUUGGCAGAUGCUUCGAUGUUGCCAAAGGAAACACUCAAUCAUCCCGCAAACAUUCAUAAUGUACUUGAUUAUGUUGCAUCUAUGCUAGAAAUUACGAAAGAAGAGCUUGCUGAAUUAAGUUACCAGAAUGCAGUCCGGUUAUUAUCCUAUGAAGGUUCGAAAGUACUUCAAAAGUAGACAAAACAAUUGCUUCUUGAAAGAGCUAGCUUGGCAAAGUUUACUUUGGGAAGUUCCAAAUAGAAUUUCGUCUAAGUACGAGCAGAUAGAUUACAGGAAGAGUUCGCUAACAUGUAUGAUAUAUGUGAGAUGGAAGGGUACACCAAAUGAACCAAUAGACGUACAAAAUAACAUGGCUUGCCAUAACUACACGAAUGCUAUUUUGGAGGAAAAACUCAUGAAGCGUUGCCUUUCCUUUCCUAAAAGAAGUGAUUGCCAACACAAGUGUUGUAUUCAACUCAAAAUAUAACUAGGUUCUCUAAUUAAAUGUAAUAUAAGGUAUAACCUUGAUCAUUCUCCAAGGACACAAAUGAUUAUUUCUAACUUAAUUAAGAGGCACUAGGCUAGGGGUUAUGUCCAUCAAUUGAAUUAAAACUAAAAAUCCAAAGGUUGAAGAAAAUUUAGAUCAAUCAAAACAUUAAGCUAGGUUGUCACUUGGAAUUCAAUAAUAAAAAAAUCAAACAUUAAGUAGAAAUGAACUUAAAAUCUAUAUCACAUUCCUUAAUGACUACCUGUGUUGUACUGGUAUUCAACAAGGUGGAGAAGAGAGUACCAGUGCUCUUAGGUUGGUCGCUAGCAAAGCAUUGAAGGUAAGCACCUAUGGAACGAUUCAUGACUUCCGUCUGACUGGAUUUCCAAGUGAUACGUUGUGGAGAACUCAGAGAAGUUCCUUGCAACCCUAAAAGCUCCCACCAAAACACACUAAUGAAGACCUUGUCACAGUCAGUGACGAUCAAUGAUUCAAGGAAUGCCAUUGAGGUGGGCAAUCUCAACGAAGAACCUUGAGGCCACUCUUGUCGUAGUGAAUGUAGUUGGUAACGCUAUGAGGUGAGCAUAGUGAAGAUGGCUACUAAAGUAGGGUAGGAUCGAGAAAGAGAAUAUGCAAAACUGUUGUCUCUACUCGGCCUAUAGCAUAUUUCAAAGGUAAUUAAAUUCUUGGAGUUUGAAAGCCCAUUUUUGUUGCUCUGGUGAUUGAAUUACUUGUGACAUAAGUUCCAUCAAAUUCUUUUGAUCUGUA
Molecule: RNA transcript, 2297 nt
Organism: Glycine soja
Lineage: Eukaryota; Viridiplantae; Streptophyta; Magnoliopsida; Fabales; Fabaceae
Exons: 8
Source: RefSeq, a predicted model, not a curated record